ACAACCGCCUAUCCGCCUUAUUCCACGACUCUUGCUUCCCGUAUUUCUUCUCUAAUGUUUCAAAAAUCAAGGGGCUCACAAUGUGUUCGACGGAAUGCCAUCUUUCGAAACUUUCAAUUUCAUCGAGCACGUUGACAAGGACUGAAUUUGGACUCGGAUGAUGAGCUUCAGUCGCGUUGCUUCCAUGUUCAUCGAUAUCGAUGCAAUUUAAAGACGUGAAUCUGUCUUCACAUGGUGAAUCCUGCAAAAUAUGCGACGAGAUAUGUUUAGCUUCAGAAAAGAAAACCAUAAUGAAAAGCAGCAAGUAUUACCUGUUCAAAAGAAACAUCCAAAGAACAGGGAAAACAUCCUUCUUUUGCAGAAUCGUUGCAUUCUGCUUUCUCAUCUAUUUGUUUGAUCCCUUCAUCACCAGAAGAAAACUCAACAUCCUCAGAAUUUGUCAACAAAUUGUUGUGUUGUCUCCCAGAGGUGAAUCCCAAAUCAUGUUUAGACACUUUCUUGAGCUUUUUAUUUGGAAGAGAAGAGAUGUUAAAUCGUUUAUAUACCAAUUUGGUGGCAGAUUUAUCUUUCCAAUCUUGUGUUCCUAAUUCUAAUCUCUGCUUUGACUCAAGACCCGCCAUUGAAGGCACCUCACUAUGAUCACAAACCCGUAUACCAGACCAAAUUUCUUGACAAACUUUGGGCCUUUUUGAUCUUGCUAAAAGCUGCUUCUUGAAUUCCCACCCAAAAGUAGUACUUCUGUUCUCAAGAUACCUUAAAGAAACAUCCUUACUUGAAUCAUUUAAUGUUGAAUUCGGCUUCUUUAAUAUCUCCCGAUUCUUUUGCUUAACUUUACUCCAUCUUCUUCCUCGUGAACCUACAGAAGCAGAUUUCUGGAGAUAGUUCUCAGACAACACUCUUUUUGGUCUAGAAACUGGCUGUUGCUUCAAUGGCACCUCAUGAAGACCCAUUAACUUUGCAAUGACACUUGGAUUGUUGUUUCUUUCGGUUCUUAUCAUAUUCAACAGCUUCGUAUCUCUAUGCAGAAAUUGUAGGCAAAGUGAUUAUCUGCUGCUGAGAAGGAAAAAUACAGAGAAAACGUCAUCAUGAGAGCAUCAUAAUUAAAGAAGAUUAUUAUAUGCAGGAAGAUCCUGAAAACGCGAAAGAUUUCGAUGAAUCGAGGUUAAGAAGGUGGAGUUAUUAUGACAGAUAAAUGAUAUUACGAUAAAGAAGAAUGAAAUGAAUAAAACGGUGGCUAAAUUGAAUUGAUAUGAGAGAGAAAUUAGGGUUUAUCAUUAAUUGUAGGUUUGAAUUUAUUUGAUUACAUCACUGGCAUAAUUUUCUAGAGGAAAUCCUUAGCAUGCUUCGGAUUUUGGAGUUUUCUUGUAAGAAUGAAAUCACAUUUUUACACGUAUAUGAAAUAUAUUUCAAAAGAAACCCCUGUAUAAUUCAACCUGGCUUGUAAGACCCUUCUAUACUAUUGUAUAAAGGAUAAACUCAUGUUUACAACA
Molecule: long non-coding RNA, 1490 nt
Organism: Lactuca sativa (garden lettuce)
Lineage: Eukaryota; Viridiplantae; Streptophyta; Magnoliopsida; Asterales; Asteraceae
Source: RefSeq, a predicted model, not a curated record